AUCCUCAACGAUGGAUAUCUAGGUUCCUACUACGAUGAAGAACGCAGCGAAGUGCGAUAAGCAAUGCGAAUUGCAGAGCCGAGAGUCAUCAGAUUUUUGAACGUAACUGACACCGGAGAGUUCUCUCUUCGGUAUGCUUCUUUCAGUGUGUGAUUAUCUCAUCACCCAAACCUUAAUGUGAUAGAUGCCCUUCUAUUGCUAAGCUUGAAAGCACUCUGUACUUUGCAGCCGAGGUCGAAAGGCCAAAGCACUCAAUGCAGUAGUCACAUUCUCAAAUGUGAACUCAUUGAGCGUAGAGUCAGUGUAUGUUUACAUACCAGUGCUUGGAUACAUAAAUUUUCUCAGCAUCUGAAAUGAAGUAGGACCACCCGCUGAACUUAAGCAUAUCAUUAAGCGGAGGAAAAGAAACUAACAAGGAUUCCCUCAGUACGGGCGACGGAAGCGGGAAAAGCCCACAUUGGUAAUCUCCGGGCCCUGGCUCGGCGAAUUGUAAUCUGAAGACGGUUAGUCCACCUGGACCGGGCGCCGAAGUGCCGCACGAGAGCGCCGCCAUAGAGGGUGAGAGCCCCGUAUGGUGCCAGGUCCUACCAGGGCUGGUUGUCGAAGAGUCGUGUACUUUGAUACUAGUGCACUAAGCGGGAGAUAAACUUCUUCUAAGGCUAAAUAUAAGUAGGAAACCGAUAGCGAACAAGUACUGUGAAGGAAAGAUGAAAAGCACUUUGGAAAGAAAGUUAAAAGACUUGAAAUCGUUGAGGCGGACCCGGUAGAAAUGUAUUCUAGCGAAACUCUCUGGGAAGCCUGUACGCGGGCCACUUGAGGGUUAGCCGAGACAAGAUGGGGUCGUGCGAUGCCAAAGGCCGUGCGCUAGGGAGCUUGCUCCAGAGUGUGCUGGUUGGGUGUCGCGCGGCUCGAGGGGCUUUGAGCGAUCUUGUCAAAAUGGUUUUUACCGACUCGUCUUGAAACACGAACCAAGGAGUCUAAGACUAACGCGAGUAUGGUGGUGAGAAACCAACAUGCGAAAUGAAAGUAAACGAUGCCAAGCUCCCUGCAGCAUCGACCGACUUUUUUCUUCUGGAAGAGGUUUGAGUAAGAGCGUUAUUCUUAGGACCCGAAAGAUGGUGAACUAUGCCUGUGUAGGGUGAAGUCAGGGGAAACUCUGAUGGAAGCUCGUAGCGAUACUGACGUGCAAAUCGUUCGUCGAACAUGGGUAUAGGGGCGAAAGACUAAUCGAACCAUCUAGUAGCUGGUUCCCUCCGAAGUUUCCCUCAGGAUAGCUGGGACAAGUACGCAGUUUUAUUAGGUAAAGCGAAUGAUUAGAGGCAUCGGGGAUAAAAUGUCCUUGACCUAUUCUCAAACUUUAAAUUGGUAAGAACUCCCGUCUUCUCUUAAUUGAAGCAGGAGGUUCAAUGCGUGUCCUUAGUGGGCCAUUUUUGGUAAGCAGAACUGGCGAUGAGGGAUGCUCCUAACGUUGAGUUAAGGUGCCAAACUACACGCUCAUCAGAAACUACAAAGGGUGUUAGUUCAUGACGACAGCAGGACGGUGGCCAUGGAAGUCGGAACCCGCUAAGGAGUGUGUAACAACUCACCUGCCGAAUGAACUAGUCCCGAAAAUGGAUGGCGCUAAAGCGUGUGACCGAUACUCAACCAUUGGUGCGAGAGUGAUGCAUCAAUGAGUAGGAGGGCGUGGGCGUCGUGGCGAAGCCUCUAGCGUGAGCUUGGGUUGAACGGCGUCUAGUGCAGAUCUUGGUGGUAGUAGCAAUUAUUCAAAUGAGAACUUUGAAGGCCGAAGUGGAGAAGGUUUCCGUGAGAACAGCAAUUGGUCACGGGUGACUCGAUCCUAAGACAUGGGGGAAAUCCUUGUUAAGUGCGCGCAAGCGCGUAGUCGAAAGGGAAUGAGGUUAAUAUUCCUCAAGCUGGAUGUGGGCGUUAAGUGGCAACACAAACGAACUUAGAGCCGCCAGCGUGAGCCUCUGGAAGAGUUGUCUUUUCUUUUUAACAGCUUAGUGCCCCUGAAAUUGGUUUACCCAGAGAUAGGGGGACAUAGCUGGAAGAGCACCCUGCGUUUCGGGGUGUCAGGUGCGCUCAUGAUGGUCCGUGAAAAUCUAAGUGAGAUAGUAUCACACCAGGUCGUACCCACAACCGCAUCAGGUCUCCAAGGUUAGCAGCCUCUGGCCUACUAGAAUAAUGUAGAUAAGGGAAGUCGGCAAAAUAGUUCCGUAACUUCGGGAAAAGGAAUGGCUCUGAGGACAGGGCAGUCAGGGCCUGCCUGGAUGGUCAAGUUGUACUGACUCUGCUUCGCAAGUUGCGGAGCCAGUAAUGACGAACGCCGGACGGACGGGUCGAGCUUGCUCUCCUGCUGCGAUGAACUGUCAACUCAGAACUGGAGCGGACAAGGGGAAUCCGACAGUUUAAUAAAAACCAAGCAUUGUGAUGGCCUUAAAAGGUGAUGACACAAUGUGAUUUCUGCCCAGUGCUCUGAAUGUCAAAGUGAAGAAAUUCGACCAAGCGCGGGUAAACGGCGGGAGUAACUAUGACUCUCUUAAGGUAGCUAAAUGCCUCGUCAUCUAAUUAGUGACGCGCAUGAAUGGAUUAACGAGAUUCCCAC
Molecule: ribosomal RNA, 2605 nt
Filed under: marine metagenome
Description: eukaryotic LSU rRNA
Rfam family: Eukaryotic large subunit ribosomal RNA (bases 345-2605)
Source: RNAcentral